Galeopterus variegatus (Sunda flying lemur) is the source of this 74-nucleotide non-coding RNA. The record is from the annotation of a RefSeq genome assembly. Lineage: Eukaryota; Metazoa; Chordata; Mammalia; Dermoptera; Cynocephalidae.
GGCUUGUUAGCUCAGUUGGUUAGAGCAUGGUGCUGAUAACUCCAAGGUUGGGGGUUCAAUCCCUAUACACGCCA